RNAcentral lists this long non-coding RNA (417 nucleotides) under Callithrix jacchus (white-tufted-ear marmoset). RNAcentral's name for it is "lncRNA (ENSCJAG00000082360.1)". The record is from RNAcentral. Lineage: Eukaryota; Metazoa; Chordata; Mammalia; Primates; Cebidae.
AGACUUUUUCCUCAGACUUCUCAAUCUGCUUCAUUCCAAGUUGGGGAGUAAAAGUGAGGUUUUUACAAUUUUUGCCACCAUCUCUUCUAGCAAGAACUGGAUCCAGCGGCGUGUUGCCUCAAUGAGAAUUACUACUUCUUGCAUUAUCAUUUGUAUCCGCAAGUUUCUGUUGGAACAAACGUCCGGUGCCUUCCAGAAUCACGGAGAAUGGGCCGGCUGAUGUUUCGGUUGAUUCUGGUCCAGGCUUAACGAGUGACUGGCACUGUGCUCUAUGCCUCCAUCAAAUGUUAUCUGAAAUCACUGCCAAUGGAAAUGAAAAGGUUCUGCCAAUACAUCAUGUAAGUCUUUGUAUUUUUCAAAAUCCCUGUGCAAAGGUUUAAUAACCCCAAAUUCCCUUUACCUUCUGAUGCAAGUCAU